AAUGAAUUGCUAUCAGAUUUUUGAUGUGUCGCCAAACCGAUGCCACUGACAUGACGCCAUCGAUGUGCGUCUGUCUCUGGCUGCACAUGCGCCUUGAGUUUACCUCAGGAGUUGAUAGAGGCCUGCGCAUUGACAAGUGGAGCGCAUUGACGAGUGGCAGUGGUUCUAUGUGGUCAGUUUGCAACUGUCUCUUGCUGAAGCACAAGGGAUGCAGGUUUGGAGCCACCCAGUGUGAGAGCUGGAACCUUUGGAAAAGCAACCAGUGCUCUUGAUCCCUGAACAAUCUGCCGAAACCCCAGAAUCUGUAUUUUUAAAAGAUGUUCUCAGAAUCAACAUAAAGUAGAAUCACAAUGAAGGCUCUUCAAAAAACUAAAAACUGAUUCUAACCUAUGGCCAUGUAUUACUGCUCCUAGGUUUUACAAAACAUAUUUCAAUUCACUAUAUUAGAGAUAUAUUUGCCUGUCAGUGUUGAUUGUAGCACACUUGUACUUGGCUCUCACAUUGCAUAGCCAGAAUAUCUAGUUAGGGUUCCCCUGAAGAACUGAACUGAUUCAAUGAGUAUAUACGGAGAAUGUUCACACACACACACACACACACACACACACACACACACACACACACAUGAAUUUCUUGCAGGCUAUGUUCUUGCUAGUAUAAUAAUGGUUAACACCAGUCCUGUAGUUAUUCAAUCCAUGAGGCUGUCUUUGCUGGUCUUCUGUAUAUAUUGUCUGGAAUCCUGAAGAAGGAGGCUGUAAUGCUGGUAAAGGAAUGAAUUGGAUAGCAAGAGAAGAACAAGGACAAGCAAGCAAAGAACAAAGAGCUUCCGUCUUCCACAUUCUUUCUAUAGGCUUGCACAAGAAUGUUUGACUCCAAUUAAAGGUAGAUCUUCUCACCUAAGAAGAUCCAGAUAAAUGUUGAGUAAUUGUACUUCAAAAGAUUUAAUAAUUUUAAUUAAGAAAAUCCCUCACAGGUGUACCCAAUAAA
Molecule: long non-coding RNA, 984 nt
Organism: Mastomys coucha (southern multimammate mouse)
Lineage: Eukaryota; Metazoa; Chordata; Mammalia; Rodentia; Muridae
Exons: 3
Source: RefSeq, a predicted model, not a curated record